Molecule: ribosomal RNA, 253 nt
Filed under: uncultured bacterium
Lineage: Bacteria
Description: partial 16S ribosomal RNA
Rfam family: Bacterial small subunit ribosomal RNA
Source: RNAcentral
UACGAAGGGGGCUAGCGUUGUUCGGAAUCACUGGGCGUAAAGCGCACGUAGGCGGAUCUUUAAGUCAGGGGUGAAAUCCCGAGGCUCAACCUCGGAACUGCCUUUGAUACUGGGGAUCUCGAGUCCGGGAGAGGUGAGUGGAACUGCGAGUGUAGAGGUGAAAUUCGUAGAUAUUCGCAAGAACACCAGUGGCGAAGGCGGCUCACUGGCCCGGAACUGACGCUGAGACGCGAAAGCGUGGGGAGCAAACAGG